AACGUAGGAGACAAACGUUAUCCGGAGUUACUGGGCGUAAAGGGCGUGCAGGCGGUCGACUAAGUCUGGCGUGAAAGCUCUCGGCUAAACCGGGAGAGGUCGUUGGAUACUGGUUGACUAGAGGACGGUAGAGGCGUGUGGAAUUCCGGGUGUAGUGGUGAAAUGCGUAGAGAUCCGGAGGAACACCAGUGGCGAAGGCGACGCGCUGGGCCGUACCUGACGCUGAUACGCGAAAGCAUGGGGAGCGAACGGG
Molecule: ribosomal RNA, 253 nt
Filed under: uncultured bacterium
Lineage: Bacteria
Description: partial 16S ribosomal RNA
Rfam family: Bacterial small subunit ribosomal RNA
Source: RNAcentral